RNAcentral lists this long non-coding RNA (350 nucleotides) under Musa acuminata (dwarf banana). RNAcentral's name for it is "long non-coding RNA (MACU_LNC003705)". The record is from RNAcentral. Lineage: Eukaryota; Viridiplantae; Streptophyta; Magnoliopsida; Zingiberales; Musaceae.
UCCGCUAUUGCCACUUGCAUCUUGUUGUAGCCGUUAGGAUCUGUGCCUGCAACAAGAACUUAUCAUUCCACUCUCCAAACAAGAAGAGGCUACGCAAGGCUGAGUUCAGAAUCCAUGCUGGGUUCAACCCAUCCUUAGACAUCCUUAUAUCCAUGGCACCAAAAUUCAUUGUGAAAAGAGAAACAUAAGUGGCCCUUAAACUCUGUUAGAUUGACUCUAUCAUCCGCAUAUGAGGGAUAACCAGGGGGGACAGGAAUUGCUCUGGACUUCUCGUCUCUUGGAUUGAAGAAAAAUAAGUGUUGCAGAUGUGAGGUCCGAAGCAACUUGGAUAUCUUCCAGGACACGGCUCC